Molecule: long non-coding RNA, 6081 nt
Filed under: Cricetulus griseus (Chinese hamster)
Lineage: Eukaryota; Metazoa; Chordata; Mammalia; Rodentia; Cricetidae
Description: lncRNA (ENSCGRG00015034257.1)
Source: RNAcentral
CCUUUUUGCUGCUGAUUUCCUGGGACUUCCCAUAUCUGCUUUGGCCUGUUUUGAUUUCUUUAGGCAUCUCUGUAUGCAUUCAUGCAAAUUACACAGAAAGCCUAAGGGUUUUAUUAAUCAGGGGCAGCUGACUCUGUAAUAAACAAGCCCAAAUUGAAAUGGCUUAACAGAAAUGAGCAAUUCAAAUGCCUGCUUUGCCGGUUGGUGACUCUUCCGAGCAUCUCUGUAGGUCACAGAGUUCCCAGCUUGCUCUUCCAUCCAGUUAGGGGAGGUUCUCAGGCACAAGCCCUAGGUCAUGUACUCUUGCCCAUUUCCCUGGCCUGGAACUUAGUCACCCAGUCCCAUAUCCCUCCAAGAGAAGCUGGAGAUGCCUGGCCCAGGAGUCAGAGGAAGUGAGGUUUGGAGGCAGGCCUCCACAUCCCUGCAUUAGAUGGCUGUUAACACUUGUUUUGCUGCCAGUGGUGAUGGAAAGGUCUGCCUGUGUUUCCUCCCCUGAUGUCACUUCAGUAAAGAAACUACUGCAGAGAUGAGGUGGAGGAAGGCUGGGACCAGACAUGGAAAAGAAAAGACCAUUGCAUCACAGAAAGCAGGAGAUGCUGAACCCCUGAACUCGGGCAGUGGCCAGAAGGCUGAGAGAAGGAGAUGGAUCACCAAGAUAAUAGAAAUAAUGUUCACUUGAACCUGGAGACCUACUGGAUACAGGGAAGAGCCAGGAAUGACUCAGAGAGUUCUGGUUCAGGCAACUCAGAGGAUUAUGUUGCUAUUCAUCAGGAAGAGACUGCAGGGAGGAGAAGCAGGUUUGGAGGGAGAAUAUGAGCUUCGGCUUGAACUUACUGCUUCUGACUUGCAAAAAUGAUAAAGGGCUGACUAAGGUUAAUAGUUUGAUCCAACAUGUGGGUCUAGGGCUCAAAAAACACAAUACAUGGGCGGGGGUUAGCCACAUGUGUGGUUGUGACUGCAAGCAUGGGUGAGAUUGUUCUGGGAGCACACAGAGAAACUAGGGCUGGAUUCAUGGGCCCCAUGCUAUUUGCAUAGCGAUGUAGCCAUCUGUCAUCCCUUAAUAACUGUGUGUGUGUGUGUGUGUGUGUGUGUGUGUGUGUGUGUGUGUAUGUAUGCAUGUGCGUGCACGUGUAUGUGCACUCUCCAGACGUCAGGGUUGGGUGUCUUCCACAAUCACUUCUUCACAUUAUUUUUGGUACAGGGUCUGUCACUGACCCUGGAGCUCACAAUUUCUGCUACCCUCACUAGCCAGAAAGCCCCUGGGAUCCUCUUUCACUGGCCUUAGAGCUAGGGUUACAAGCAUGUGCCACCACACGUUGUUUUUCUAUGGGUUCUGAGGAUCUGGAGUUGGGUCCCCAUGCUUGUGUGGCAAGUACUUGAUCCACCGAGCCAUCUCCCCAGCCAAAUUCUUUAGUAACAUUUGAGGUAGGACCCCACAAUUUCUCUGUGGCUGGGUCCUGAAAAUGAUGCAGUCAUUUCUAAGAUGAUAGGGACAAAACCAGUCCUGAAACUAUGCUAGGAAAGAUUCACCACACAGAGAAGUCCAGAGGCUGUUACAGAACCCUGUGCCAAGUGGGAGGGGAUGUUGGUGAUCAGGGGACAAAAAUGAGAGAGAGAAGGGCCCUGUGGGCAUCAUGACAUGAAGAAGGGUCAGUGACCUAGGAGGAGAUCUGGGCAUCUUCUCCACAACACUAUUUUAGGUAGAAAAGUAAUAAACAGCAUGCAAUAUGAGUGUGUAAAACCAACUGCAAAACUGAACUCUGGGGCUGAGAUGGCUCCAUGAGUAAAGAGUUUUCAAUGCAAACAUGAGACCUGAGUUCGAUCACAGAAUAAGUCACAUCAGUCACAGAAUAAGGCCAGUAUUGUAAUCCCAGCAUGGGGAAGAAAGAGACAGAGGAUCCCUGAGCCAUACUGGACAGCCAGACUCACUUAGUUGUUGAGCUGCAGGUCCCUGAGAGACCCUGUCUUAAAAAACAAGAUGAACAGCACCUGAGGGAUGGAUGGCACAUGAGAUUGACUUCUGGCCUCCACACACGCAUGUACACCUGUGCACAUACAGCCCCUCACACAUAAGUGCAUCCCAAACACAAACAUAGACACACAGACACACAGACACACAGACACACAGACAGACAGACAGACAGACAGACAGACAGACACACACACACACACACACACACACACACACACACACACACACACCUGACUUCUAGAGGAGUCAUAGAGUGUGGAGAAUCCCCGAUUCUUACCACUGUUGUUGUUUGGACCUCAUCAACUGCUGUCUGGAUUCUGCAGCUCCCCCACUUUGUCCUUGUGCCCUAUGGGUCACAGGGAUUGUGCUAGCAAUUAAGUCUGAUCAUGUCAGGCCUCUGCCCAAACCCAUAGGUAGUUUGUCGUGUCAGAGCACAGGUCUUUACUGCCUGAGAGGACCAGUCAUCAGACUCCCCUUUGCUCACUCUGCUUGAGUGCACGGCCUUCAUACUGGCACCAUGCCCAGUUCUCCCCCUGCCUGCAUACUCUUUUGUUAUAGAUGUCCCCCCCUCUGACUCUGCUCAGAUGUUCCCUCUCAGUGUGUCCACCCACUGGGCAAACCAUCUAUGCCACUCUGCUUGCUUUUCCUUGCAGCCCAGUCACCACCUGACUUCCGGUGUUAUGAUUUGCUUUUUGCCUUUCUACUCCUAGGAGAGGAGACACUUGACUUUGUUUAUCUGCUUGGCUAGUCCUGUUGGAGAACAACAGCCUUGGGGGACAUUAGGAGCUAUUGGGGAUCCUGUCUCCCAAGCCAAAAAUUAUGAUAUGCUGUCUCGUAGAGAGAAAGGGUAUUCCCUUGUUUGUUUGUCUGUCUGUUUGGGAAGGCAUCCCUUUGUUUCACAGAAGGAUUUAAGACAGCUUACAAAGCGCUCAGCAAGAUGACAUAAAUUAGAAGCAGGUGGGAGGGGGGUGUCCUUGCAGGCUAACGCUAUAAAGUGGAGCCAAGGAUGGGACUAAUACAAAAUAAACAUCCCAUAAACUUUGAUCCAUUCAUGAGGGGUGGGCCACAAAUUUGGCUCUAAUAUUUCUUACUGCCAGUGCCAGGAUGUAACAUGAUCCUCCCCGUGACUCCCAGGAUCCUCAAGAUUAAAGCAGACCACCAGCUCAGGACAGACAGCCACAUUCCUGACGCCUGGAAAACGGAGCAGCAUCUCCCUGAUCCCACCCAGAGGGGACAGGGGAACUAUGGGGAGGGCUCACAGACAUCUCUGAGCUUGGCUUCUUAUGUUUCCCAGCCAAGCAUAGGGGAGUCCAUUGUCUGGGGGACCAAUGACAGGGUUUCAGUCCAGCCACACACAUGUUUUAGCAGGUGGUGGACAGUGUGGUCUAAAGAACCCUGGAGCUAUGCUUCUGGAAUGUCCUAGACCAAGCUUUGGGGGGUAGCAGGGGACCAAAGGGUCUCAUGAUCAAAACUUCAACUGAAGCUAUUCUAGGUGAUCCCAAGAACCCACAGACAUUGGGCUGAGGAAAGGUGGCCCUAGAAAGUUAUGUUUUCUAUCUGAGAAUGAACAGAUAUCUUCCUGGAAAUGAACAACUAGUGAAAUAAAACAUGGGUAGAUGUGUGUGUGUGCACAUUUGUGUGCACACAUGUAGACGCCAGAGGUCAAUGUCAGCCAUCUUCCUUGAUUGAUCCCUGUCUUAUUUUUAGUGUUUUGCUAUGUUCAUUUGAGACAGAGUCUCACUAUGUAGCCUUGGCAGGCCUGAAGCUUGUGUAGACCAGGUUGGUCUCAGACUCACAGAGACCCACCUUCCUUUGCCUCCCAAGAACUGAGAUUAGAGGUGUGUGCCACCACAUCUAACUUCCAUUUAAUUUUUGAGACACUGAACCUGGAGUUUACCAGUUGAUGGCUAGCCAGGAACUCCAGAGACCUUCCUGCCUUCACUUUUCCAGGACUGGGACUAAGACAAUUACCACCAAACCCAGGUUGUUUUGUUUUGUUUUGUUAGUGCUGGGGAUCCACACGACAGUCCUCAUAUUUGCUUACUAGGUGCUUUACUGACUGUACCCUCUUCCCGGGCUCAGCACAAUUGUUGCCUGGGAACAUUUUAGAGCAAACCCAGCCUAAAACCUAUCGUGUGUGUGUGUGUGUGUGUGUGUGUGUGUGUGUGUGUGUGUGUGUGUGUGUGUGUAAAGUCAUCUUCCUGUUCUUCCUUACAAGAUAAACCAUUUGUGAAACACACACCAAGUUAGCAAUGAGGAGGUCUGCAUGGAAUGAAGGACUGUCUAAGAGCUGAGUGACAGCUACCAACAAUGACAGCUAGCUGAGCGCCUGUUUGCUCUGAAGUCUCCUUUCUGGCAGUAAGUGAACAGUGAGAUCAGCUGUAUCCAGAGGUUCUGUACUGAAGCUGAAUUUCCCCAGAAAAUUCAGAUCGCAUGGCUGGAGCAGAGCUGGUUCCCAUCCCCACCCCUGAUAGGGAUCCCAGCUGUCUGCAUGUUUUCCUGGGUUGCUGAAAGUCUGGAGAUAAUGAAGUGCCCCUCCUCUGAGGUCCUGGCAAGGAAGGCAAAGCUUCUCUUCUUUCUCCUCCUUCUUAGCAGUUUGAGACUUUGUUUUACUUUAUAACCUAAGCUGUCCUAACGGCGGUCCUCCAUUCUACGUCAACACUCCCCCGCCCCCGUGUGUAACAUAUGUGCACAUGUGUGUGCAGGUGUCCAUGUCUGUGCAUAUGUGUAGAUGCCAUAGGAGUGCAUGGGGAGUCUUGUUCCAUCACAUUCUACUGGGGCAGGGUCUCUCCCUGAGCCUGAAGCUAGACUGAUGGCUAGGAAGUCCUGGCAAUUCUCCUGCCCUCUGCCUCUAACAGCACUGGCUUUCAGGAGCAUGCAUGGCCAUUGUCUACCUUUUUACAUGGCCCCUGGGGAUCACUUGGGUCCUCAUGUUUGCCCAGCAAGUGCUCUUACCUACUCAGACAUCUACCCAGGCCCCUAAACUCUUCUUGAGCCAUGAAAGCACAUGGCAGAGCCCACCAACACUGAGUACCUUCAAAGACCAAAGCAAUGAAAAGACCUUUGUGCCAUUCACCCUUCUUGCUGUCCACAGCUUCCUGGGCAUUGCAGACCCUUCUCAGCAGACCCGUCCACUUCCCAGCCCUCGUCCAUAGAAGCACAGUUCACCCUUGCACAAGCCCCUAGCCUCCUGGACCAGUCCCUCUGGCUGACCCCUGUCUCCUUCGUCUUACCCUCCAGCUUGCUCUUUAGGGUUAGUCAUAAUAACCCUCACAUCAGCAGAGCAGAAGAUCACCUUCCAUCUGCCUCACAACCACAAGAAGGUGGGUGGUGGGAGGCUAAUUAUCAUCUCAAUUUUACAAAUAAAUAAACAGGCUCAGAAUCGCCCAUGUUUUCCCACAAGCAUGCCUUAGUGAGUAUCCAGAAAGGAAGCACAGCUCUAUACUCCAAGCUCUGAACUGUGUUACACACUCCUAACCCUCCCAAAGCAGCCCCCUGAAAGCAGGAGGGAGUCAGCUGUAUUAGGGAACUUACAGAGCACAUAGUCUUAGGUAUGUGUGUAGAGACACAAAGCAAAAAGGAAGGGGCCCUCUGGUACCCUAUUAUGUUAUCAAGGAACCCAAGUGUCUCCAUUCACCUCUUCACUUUACAGGUGUAGAAACUGAGGCUCAGAGAGAAGGAAGGCUCAUGUGUUGAAUGCUCAGCCUAUUAGAAUUGGCCACCAGUACCUAGGUGAGGGUCAGGGUGACAAUCUCCCUCAGCCACACAAACCCCUGUCUGCCUCUCACCCUCCAUCUUCUGUCUGUCUACCCUUGGGGGAACACAGGACUGAGCACUGCUGUCUCUUGGACCCCAAUUUGGCAGCUGACCAUCUCUCUAAGUCCAAGAGUUUAUUAUCAGUCUUUACCACAAAGGUUUUGGGUGCUUGUGCAUCUGUUGUUGCAUCCUACUUGAGCAUCAUUGGAGUGUUUGGGGAGAAGUUUUCUAGCAGGCCUUGACCCAUCCAGAAAGCUAUGUCCACUGUGGGGCUCCAUCAGCACUCUGAGUGGAGACUGUGGGAGUCGAGGAGGAGGGAACACAAAAGAGUCAAAGAGAGCUGUAAAGUCAGG